Brienomyrus brachyistius is the source of this 963-nucleotide long non-coding RNA. RefSeq lists it as uncharacterized. The record is from RefSeq and is a predicted model, not a curated record. Lineage: Eukaryota; Metazoa; Chordata; Actinopteri; Osteoglossiformes; Mormyridae. The transcript has 3 exons.
CUCGGCUUCCCGGCUGAUGUUUUUAUUCACGAGACCAGCCAUUGACUUGGACGGAGUAGCCCGAUAAUCGCAGGCAUGAGCGUAUCUUACAGCAACAAUCCGAAAGAGCUCAUCUUGUCAUUCCUGGCAGCGUUACGCCGGAUCCUCUGUACAUGCGGGCAGAAUCCCGACAGUGGAGAAGGUGACAAUGACGGGUUACUGCAUCUCCCGAUUCAGGAGACUGAUCCUGCGCCAAACCGCAGCUCUGUGAAGCCCUGGUUUGACCCUGGAAAUAGAUGCCGUUAACUUCUUUUUAAAAGGCUGCUGCCUUAAUGGGGGCUCAGUGGGUCAGACCUCUGUGUCCGUGAUUGGAAGGUCGCUGGUCUGAAUCCUGUGCUCAGCAGGAGUCACAUCACUGUAGGACCCUUGAGCAAAGGCCCUUAGUAGCCUGGAUAAUGACCCCAUGCUCUGCUCUUGCUGUAUAUAUGUGUAUUCAUGUCAUUCUGCGCAAAAUUUUGAUAAGCUUUUGCUACACAUCCUAAUGCAUUUUUUUGUAAAUCUUUUUAAUGACUUCCCUAUGAGGGCCAUUAUGUCUUGCUUCCUGUCCAAGCUACACUGUCCGUCGUGCCUUAAGCUACCUGGGUCACACUACUGGCUCUCAGUGACCCUGUACUGGGGAGGGGGCAGGGGUACGUAUUUAUUCAAGUUAAAUAUGACCAUAAUGUAAUCAAAGGAUGUAGAUAUAAUUUAUUGAUUGCAAAGGGACACUUAGUUUCAAACAGUAUCAAAGGGUAAAGUAAAUUAAGUAAAGUGUACUUAUGAUGGGUAUGGGGGUGGGGGGAGGAAUUGUUUAUUUUACUCCAUCAAUGCUUUAUUGUACUUUUGUGUAAGAUUUUCCUUUGUUUAUAUAUGAAGUACUGUGUGAUGCACUUUGUCAACUGCUGUUUAACUAAGAUUUUUAUAAAAUUUGUAAUUUUCCAACUA